Non-coding RNA from Felis catus (domestic cat), 85 nucleotides. The record is from Rfam. Lineage: Eukaryota; Metazoa; Chordata; Mammalia; Carnivora; Felidae.
GCCUGGGUGGCUCAGUAGGUUGAGCGUCUGAGUUCGGUUCAGGUCAUGAUCUCGCGGCCUGUGGGUUCGAGCCCCACGUUGGGCU